RNAcentral lists this long non-coding RNA (8748 nucleotides) under Triticum aestivum (bread wheat). Its description in RNAcentral is "long non-coding RNA (TAES_LNC000451)". The record is from RNAcentral. Lineage: Eukaryota; Viridiplantae; Streptophyta; Magnoliopsida; Poales; Poaceae.
CUAGUAAGAUGCCCGUGCUACGCUACGGGAUCAAAAAAGAUAAGAUGGACCUAAGUUAUAGUCAGGAACUCAUACAUUGAUUAAAGUAGUGAUAUAUUAUUAUUGAUAAAUAGACAUCGAGCACAAUCAAACAUAUGUUUUUUAAUCGAUGAACCCCUUCGUCAUGAAGCCAAACUCUUUCUUGUCCAUCUCCAUCUCGUAGGAAGACCCUUCUCCCUACUCAACUCUCUAAUUGCUCGCUCUAUCCUAUAUCAAGGGGAGAACAUGCGGUAAAUAUAAAAUUCGUCUACACACGUAGCAACUGUGACAACAUUCACCAGCUUUAUCUCUCCAUUUGACUGUCUUUGGCUUCUGUUUGCUUAACAUGGACUACAACUCCAGCCCGCACACAAUUAUCUGCUAGAAAUGGUAAACACAUUGAGCACCUCACAAACAUAUCACAUCCAGUAACAAGCCACGAUAACUCACAUGAGAAAAGAGAAAACAAUAAAAUAAAACACUUGGUGCAUAACUUGCAUACAUGAGUACAUACAAGUACAACCAAAAUAAUCGGGCUCCGUAAGCAAGAUUACUAUGGCAAAAUGAUGUGCCAUGUGUCAGCAUCCUUCAAACAGUGGCUUCGUCAAAUGCAAGCCCUGUGAACUCCUCUUUAGUUGUUUGCUCAAAACAUUUAUGCCAACCAUAUUAGUUUUGGGCCUCUCACAUCAUCCAUCUGCUCAUCUAAAAAGAAUAAAGGAUAUUAGACAAUCAAUACAGCAUACGUAACAGUCAGGUAUAUUCAGGGAAAGGAACAAAUAUUGAGCCUGUAGAUGGUUUGUAGUAUAUUUAGUCAAGGAAAAAACAAUGAAUAACACUUGCAAUACAUUUUGUACCAAGCAAAGGAACAAAAUGUACAGUAAAACAUGCUUUUGAAUCAUGUGUAUAUAUAGAAGGGGCGAAUGCACGUGCACAUAUUAUGCAUACAAAAACAUCAGUACUGGCCCUCUUUUCACUUUCUUGCAUCAACCAGGUUUCCACACAUACACAAAAAAAAAGAUGCCGAUAACAGACAGCAAGGAAAUAAAUAUUCGAGGUGUGAAUUGAAAUUUUUGAUGUGGAGCUACCAAGCAAAUGAGGGGCGUCGAUGAAAAACGGCCUGCUGUAGAUGUCAUCCAAAAUUAUUUGAACAGUGGAAGUAAUAAAGAAAACUACCAAAAACAAUUUGAAUACAUGUAUAAUAUUUUCUGCAAAAAAUAUCAUGAACGCUAAUGCAAGCAUCUUAGUUGUUUUUCUUAAAGUCCUCUACACAAACUUCAGAACCAUAAUAGCUGGGAAGCAAUUUUAGAUGAUUGACCCUAGUAAUCUAGAUAGAUUGAAUUUCUACAGCCACCGAAUUGUACUCGAGUGAUUUAUACCUUGAACUACACACUGAGAACUUCUUUGUAGACUAUGUUCUUUGUACAAUUUGCAUUGGAGUUGGUUUGGCCUUCCUUUUGCUUAUCUGGGACAGUAAGAAUCUUCAUAUUACUUCUUGAUGUAGCUCUAGAAAGAGCAACAUAGAGUUGCCCGUGUGAAAAUACCGGUUCAGGAAGGUAUACACCAACAUUUUGUAUAGUUUGUCCCUGUGCCUUGUUAAUGGUCAGAGCAAAGCUAAGCCUGACUGGAAACUGCUUCCUCUUGAACCUAAAUGGAAACAUCUCAUCAUCUGAUGGGCAAAGAGGAAUUCGAGGAAGGAACACCCUCUUACUAGCAUGAUGGCCCAGCACAAUCUCAGCAUCAAUUGCAUUCCUCAUGAACCCUCGGACAAUCAGCCUCGUCCCGUUGCACAACCCACUCACUGGGUCAAUGUUCCGUAACAAUAUAAUCUCUACUCCUAUAAAAUACCCAGUUGGUGGUAAUGAUGUGCCUGCCAUACCUGAUUUUCGAUCGUCAGAUGUGCAUCCAACGCAUGAGAGCUAACUAUGGUUUAUGUUUGUAAAAAAAACCUUAUUCUCUUCGUUCAGCUCCAGCCAUCCCCUCCUUAUCCAAAUCCUAUGAGCGAAGGCAUUGGAUCCUUCACGAAAACGAAAGAAAACAGUGGAACCAAAGAGGGCAGCGCCGCUGCCGCUCCACACACCGCCGGCGCCGCCGAUGCAGUCCGCUCCUAACACCCUCUUCCGCCUCCUCACUGCAGCAACAUCCCCAUCGCUCACUAUCCCCGAUUUCUCCCCCCGCCUGCCCCGUCUCCUCCGACGCCGACGUCGGCAAACACGCAGCCGCCGCCGCUCAUCCCCGGAGUCCGCGACGCCUCCCUUCCCUGGUACUCUGAGGUAGCAGCCCCUGCGCCCACCGAUUCCCCCUCCUCCCGGUUGUCUCCCCUACCCCAUCUACUCUGGCGCCGAUGUCGGCAAGUACGUCGCCGGCGCCGUCCGCGUCUGAUUCCGCGACCCCUCUCUUACCUUAUUCUCUGACGCAGCAGCCCAGCCGCCCACCAUCUCCCCAUCCUUCCCUGCAUCUCCUCCUUCCCCCACCCCAUCUCCUACGACGCCGACGUUGGCAAGUACGCCGCCGGCACGUUCCGUCCCCCGAGCUCGCGACGCCACUCCUGCGUCAUCCUCUGAUGCAGAAACCCGGCCGCCCACCACCUCCUCCUCCUGGCCGGCUCUUCAGCGACGCUGGCGCCAGCUUCCCUGCGACGCGCUCCAGGCCAUUCCCUUCGAGUACUUGCUGGUCCACACCCGUUUCCUCCAGUAAACUCUGUUUCAGAGACGGCUGGUCUGGUGUGAUGGUCGCCUCUGCUGUUGCCUCUCCUUCCUACCCGUCCCGCCUCCAAAUUUCAAAUUUCCUGUCACUCAAAGUUCAAAUCCGCGCGCCCAGUUCAAACUGUCCAGAAACCACUCCUGCAGCCCAAUAUAAAUAAGUGGGCAGGCAUAUGGGACUCUGGCUGCUCAAACUACACCCCCAAGAAGUCACACAUUGGUCACGCCAACCUUCAGAUCGAACGGAGUGUGAGGAAGUGUGAUUCACUGCUCUUCGUCAUCUAAUCUUCUUCGUCAAGGGCAAGGUAUGGGUUGUGAAUGAAUAUUAAAAUCUUCUCUAUGAUCUCAUCAACCAUUGCUUCAUCUUUGUUAUUAGACAACCCCGUCUGAAUACUGUAUCAGUAGCAGUUGGAGAAGUACUGAAUGAUACACAUCUUACAUAGCUGACUCCCAACAUCCUGGAUUAUUUAUAUCUAAUCUGACUGCAAUUUUUAUGCAUUUCAUAGCUUAUUUCCCGUCUGAAUACUGUAUCAGUAGCAGUUGGAAAAGUACUGAAUGAUACAAACUUUACAUAGCUGACUCCCAACAUCCUGGAUUAUUUAUAUCUAAUCUGAUUGCAUUUUUUAUGCAUUUCAUAGUUUAUAUUUCAUCUAACCAGUCUGCAUUUUGAAUGCAUUAUGUUGUAGCCAAGUCCAACAGAACUUGCUCCAGUGGCACGCCAAGUCCUCAUACAAGUAUAUUUAUGCGCGAGCCAAUAGAUAUGACAAGUUCAAGUCAGUCGUCUUUGGAUGAUGAAGUGACAAACGAAUCAUCUACGAUUUUUCCUACUAAUGGCAUGCUCAUAUCAACUGAGGGCUUGGAGCGAGGAGAAAGCUCAAAAGGUAAAUCUAUAAGGCGAAAUUCUAUGCAUAAGUAAUUUUAUUUAACUACUUAAUUAAUUUCUCAUAAAAAUGCUAUAGGACGAAAGCGUGUACGUGAAGCAAUAAGAUAUGCUAGCCGUACACCAGAACAAAUCCAAGCAAGGCGAGAACGUGUUAGAGCACGUCGGCAAAUUUUAACACCUGCUGAGAGGGAAAAGAUUAAUGCACAAAGAAGAGAGAAAAGACAACGAAUGGCACUUGAUGAGAGGAAUGCAAGCCAACGAGCACGUAGGCAAAGUUUGACAAUAGAUGAGAGGCAAGAAAUAAAUGCACGCCGGCGAGCACGUAGGCAAAGCCUACCACCUGAAGAGCGGCAAGCACUCCUAGCUCAAUGUAAUGCAAGCUACGCAUCUAAACGAGAUGCCCUCUGCAGGGAUUCUGUUGCACUACAGUGCCCUGCAGGUUCAUUGAUGGGACAUCCAUCAUCAAGUUCUUAUGUCUUUAGCCACCCAGGUAAGCUCGCACAAACUUCUGCUACAAUUCAAGGUAAUUCUCAAACACAUCUGUAUAUAUGUAACAACAUCGAUCUUCAAAUUACAUUUAGGAGAUGAUGAUACUACCCAGCACAUGGAACUCACAUCGGUGCAAUGUCCAACAUCUACAUCAGUGGACAAUCCAUCAUCACCCCAUGAUGGUUUCGUAUAUUCAGAUUCCCCAAUAGAAAGCUUUGUCGCCGAUGAUUAUGAUUCUCACAUGUCCGAAGAACAAGAUGAUGAGUACUUUGCAUUUGCUGGGAGAGGUAUUGCCAAUGCCAUGGAUACCUUAUUUCUCUACAUACAAAAAAAGCAAGACCUAUAUAACGCCAUUCAUCUCAUUAUAUGUAGGUGACGAUGAAGACUUUGUAGAUGCCUUUACAAUAGACACCAUUGUCCCUGACCUAUAUGAUCGUGUCUACCACAAUAUACCAGUAAGUACUCACAUGUUGACACCAAAACCUGAUUGCAAUCACUGUGGUGCUAAGAGAUUCCAGUAUGAAACAAGUGGAUUUUGUUGUCGGUCCGGAAAGAUUAACCUAGCACACUCAGAACCUCCCUUGGAACUUCAAAUGUUAUACAAAAGUUCAGAUCCCAAUGCCGUGCAUUUUAGGGAGAACAUUCGGUACUUUAAUGGACACUUCUCAUUCACCACCCUUGGAGUCAGUCUUGACAAUAGAUACACAAACAUGAGUUCAGGAGUGUAUACGUUCCGAGCUCACGGUCAGAUUUACCACAACGUCUUCUCAUUUGGUCCAACUCAAGAUGGACCUAAGCAUUUGGAGCUCUACUUCUAUGAUGAUGAUCCAAGUUUACAACAUAGGUUUCGGUGCUCCCCAAACCUAGACCGAGAUGUCAUUCGUAAGCUUGUCGACAUCCUCAAGGAUAAUCCUUAUUCUGAGACAUUCAUGAAUCUAGGUGGAGUCGAUGACCUUGAGGAAUACCGUAUUGAACUAAACACCGACAUGAGGUUGGACCAACGGAGAUAUAACUUGCCUAUAUCAUCGGAGGUUGCGGCUAUUUGGGUUGAGGGUAAUGAACUAUGUAAGCACUUUGAUCGUAGCAUAGUACUGUUUGGUAACGACAACAAGAGAUAUAGCAUCCAGCCAUAUUAUGGAUGCUAUGAUCCGUUGUCUUACCCUUUAUUCUUUCCAAGAGGGGAGAUUGGUUGGCAUCCCGAAAUCCCAAAGAAUGGCGUCAACUUGAAUGAGAUACUUCAAUCUCGUCGCAGUGGUCGACAUAGUCUAGGUAAUUCAUAUAACGGAAAUAGCAUGUGUUCAUUUUGUUUAUCCUCAUUGUACUUACUUUUCUAAAUAUUUCCUCUUGUUACCUCUCAUUUCCAUAGGUACAUAUACAAAUAGUCGAUUAUGCGUAUCUGUUAGAGACUACUAUUGCUACAAGUUUCAAAUACGUCGUGGUGUAUUUAACACUAUGCUAUACGGUAAACAACUGUGCCAACAGUAUGUGGUUGAUAUGUACAUCAAGGUUGAAAGCUCAAGAUUGGACUAUAUCAAAAAUCACCAGAAACAAAUACGUGCUGAUCUAUACCAAGGUGUUGUUGAUAGCCUUCAAGCUGGGGAAAACCGUGCGGAUGCAGUGGGCAAAUGGACUAUACUUCCUACAUCAUUUAUUGGGGGAAAAAGAGAUAGGAGACGAAGGUAUCUUGAUGCCAUGGCCUUGGUGCAAAAGUAUGGGAAACCAGAUAUAUUUUUAACCAUGACUUGCAAUCCGAAUUGGGGUGAGAUAAUUAGUGAGCUGGAGCCUGGACAAACCCCACAGGAUCGCCCUGAUCUUAUCGUACGAGUAUUUCGAGCAAAGUUGGAAGACCUCAAGAUACAACUUUUUAAGAAGCACAUGCUCGGUAAGGUAGCAGCAUAUGUGUAUGUCGUUGAGUUUCAGAAAAGAGGUCUACCACAUGCUCAUUUCCUCCUAAUCAUGGAGGGGAGGUACAAGCUAACUUGCCCAGAGCAAUAUGAUUGUCUAAUAUCUGCUGAAUUGCCAGACAAAUCCAAGUACCCAGAGUUGUACAAAAUGGUCGUCAAGCACAUGAUGCAUGGCCCGUGUGGAGUCCUCAACCCCAAGAACGUGUGCAUGCAAAAUGGUAGCUGCAAGAACUACUAUCCACGACCAUUUAAUGCGUCAACCCUUCAGGGAAAGGACUCAUAUCCCAUAUACCGGAGGAGAGAUGAUGGACGUCAUGCGAAGGUACGGGGUGAAGAUUUAGACAAUAGGUGGGUUGUUCCAUACAAUCCUUACCUACUAAGAAGGUAUAACUGCCACAUCAAUGUUGAGGUUUGCUCAAGCAUAAAAGCUGUGAAGUACCUCUUUAAAUACAUAUAUAAGGGGCAUGAUCAAGCAUCUGUUUCUAUCGACGCGGUGGAUAGUGACGGAAACAUUGAUGAAAUAAAGCAAUACAGAGAUUCCAGAUGGAUUACACCACCAGAAGCAUUAUGGAGGAUCUAUGGUUUUGACCUUAGUAAUUUAUUUCCUUCUGUUAGGCAGCUACAACUCCACCUCCCUAAUAUGCACAUGGUGUCAUUCCCGGCGGGCGCAAAUCUGAAUGAUGUCCUCUCCCAGGAAGGAGCUUCCAAGACAAUGCUAACCGAGUAUUUUGAAGCAAACAAGAAGUAUGAGUUGGCCCGGGGAAUUUUAUAUAAGGAUUUUCCGGCAUCUUUUGUUUGGAUCUCGGGUGGAAAGUAUUGGAAAAGGAGGGAUGAAUGCACACAGAUCGGGAGAAUUGUGUCUGCUCAUCCAGCCGAAGGGGAGACGUAUUAUCUUAGAGUGCUUCUAAACCAUGUCACAGGUGCUACAUCUUUCCAAGACCUAAGGACAGUGGAUGGUAUUGUUUUCCCGACAUUUCGUGAAGCUGCUGAAAGGAGGGGUCUUAUCGAGUCAGAUAAUACUAUUGACGAGUGUCUUAAUGAAGCUGAGGUUUUUCAGAUGCCAUCUUCCCUUCGAACGCUAUUUGCCACUAUAUUGGUCUUUUGUGAGCCCAGCAAUGUGCGUGGUCUAUGGGAUAGGCACUUGGAAGCUAUGAUAGAAGACUAUCGACUAAACCACAUGUCCCCUCAUGUAGUUGAGCAGAUGGCUUUGUUAGAUAUAAAAAGUAUGCUUGAAUCGAUGGGGAAGGACAUAUCAUCAUUACCUCUUCCAGAAAUUGUUGAGUCAUAUGAUGGCUCAAAUAACGAGGCUAGGGAGAUCACAGAGGAGUCGACCAUAGGGGUGAACCCAGAACACCUUGGCUUUUCAUCUUUCCUAAACCCAGAAGAGAGAUAUGCAUAUGAUGAGAUACUUGCAACAAUCAAUAGUGGCCAAGGAGGUGUGUUCUUUGUUGAUGGACCAGGAGGCACUGGAAAGACUUAUCUAUACAAACACUACUUGCAAAAGUACGUGGUGAGGGUAAGAUAGCUAUUGCAACAGCAAAAUCAGGCGUUGCUGCAUCCAUCUUGCCCGGCGGGAGGACUGCACACUCAAGGUUUAAAAUACCAUUGAACAUUGAAGAUGGUGGAGUUUGCAGUUUCACCAAGCAAAGUGGGACAGCUAAGCUUCUUAUGAGCGCCUCCCUCAUAAUUUGGGAUGAGGCCUCCAUGACAAGGAGACAGGCAGUCGAGGCCCUUGAUAAUAGCAUGAGGGACAUCAUGGCUCAACCUGACCUGCCAUUUGGUGGAAAGACUGUCGUGUUUGGGGGACAUUUCAGACAAGUGUUUCCUCUUGUUCGCAAGGGAACAAGGUCACAAAUAAUUGACGCGACGCUAUGCAAGUCUUACCUUUGGGAGAGUAUGAGACAUAUAAGACUUGUCCGUAAUAUGAGGGCUCAAAGUGAUCCAUGGUUUGUUGAUUAUCUUCUGCCUGUUGGGAGUGGCACCGAAGAUACUAUGGAUGAUGGUUACAUACGACUCCCAGAUGAGAUUUGUGUACCAUAUACCGGCGUUGCCUCUGAUAUUGACAAGCUUAUUGAAAGUGUUUUCCCGAUGCCGCUAGAUGAAAACCUCUUGGAUCCAAACUACAUAGCGUCCCGAGCAAUUCUAUCAACUCGGAAUGAGUACAUUGACAAAAUCAAUAUGAGGAUGAUUGAGAGAUUUCCUGGGGAGGAGAUGAUAUACUACAGUUUUGAUCGCGCAAAGGAUGAUCCACACAACUACUACCCUGCAGAAUUCUUGAAUUCAUUGACACCUAAUGGUCUACCUCCCCAUAUCCUCAAGUUGAAGAUUAAUUAUCCUAUUAUAUUGUUACGGAACAUUGACCCAGCGAGUGGGUUGUGCAAUGGGACGAGGCUGAUUGUCCGAGGGUUCAUGAGGAAUGCAAUUGAUGCUGAGAUUGUGCUGGGCCAGCAUGCUGGUAAGAGGGUGUUCCUUCCUCGAAUUCCUCUUUGCCCAUCAGAUGAUGAGAUGUUUCCAUUUAGGUUCAAGAGGAAGCAGUUUCCAGUCAGGCUUAGCUUUGCUAUGACCAUUAACAAAGCACAUGGACAAACUAUACAAAAUGUUGGUGUAUACCUCCCUGAACCGGUAUCUUCACACGAGCAACUCUAUGUUGCUCUUUCUAGAGCUACAUCAAGAAGUAAUAUGAAGAUUCUUACUGUCCCAGAUAAGCAAAAGGAAGGCCAAACCAACUCCAAUGCAAAUUGUACAAAGAACAUAG